UGUAAGGACUCCGUCUCCUCGGGCCGCAGAACCAAGGCCUGGGUGGUGGGGGCACGUGACCGGCCCGUCUGAAAGCUUUGGGAACUGUUCCGCGCACAGCUCCUCGCAGGCCCAGGCCACCGACCGUUGCAGAGCCGACGAGCCCGGCUGGUCUCCAUGGUGACCGGCUCGCCGCAGAAGCCUCUGGGAAUUGUAGUUGGGCGGGAGCCGGGUCCGUGCGCCGAGUUCCGAGCGGUGGCCGUUACCGCUCGCCAUCGCGGUCCGGUCGGAGCUUGGCGGCGUCCGGGGGAGCUCCUUCCGCGUUUCCUCGGCCUCCGGGACCCCAGGCAGGCGGGCGGUCGCCCGGAAAGGCAGGGUGUGGGCCCGGGCUCCAGGGGAGGUAUCUGGCAGGCGUUUUGCAGAGGCUCGCACAGUGGGUUGGUCACGGCGUUGAGAGCCGCAUCAGAGCGUGGCCUCGAAGGAGCGCUUGGUCCAGUCUCUUCUGCUAGAUUAGGGGGGACCGAAGCCCAGACAGAGUCCGUGGUUUGCCCCAAAGCGAGGCCAGAUCCUAGUCUGUCCGCUCACGCCUUUCUUUGCAGCACAGAGCGCCCUGCCUGACACAGAGCAGGCGCCCAGACAUCGGUUAAGUGUCAUUUCGUUCUAACGACAGCCAGCUGAAAUACAAAAGUACAAGAUUUUUUAAAAAAAAAAUUUUUUUUUUUUUUUAAAGAGGGAAGUGGACCUAUAGAUAAGGAGACUUAUCAGCCAGAUACAACCUAUAAAUUCAUUUGGAUCAUGAGUCUAAGAAUCAAUUGUGCGGCUUUUUAAAAUCUGGUAGAUGUGAACAUUGAUUGGCAAUAUGGCAGAGUUACUGUUUAAAACUUCUGGUUGUGAAAAGGCUGUUGCGGUUAUGUUUUAAAAAGGAAAAGAGUCUUAGAGACACAUACUGCAGGUUUUAUGGUCGAAAUGAUGUCUGAGAUUUGCUGAAAAAAUACCCAGCGUGGCCGGCUGGAGAGAGACAAGAAUGAAAGUUUCUGAAAUAUGAAGCAGCUCAGAGUUUCUCUGAAACAUAAGCCUCACACGGCACAAGUGAGCCUCCUUGGGGACUUCUCCCGUCAAGAAAGAGCACCGCAAUGAGGGGGGCUGUGUCCAGUGCCCCCAGGUCCUUCAAAAGCAGGACAGAAUUCUGACCUUGAAGCCAGAGGCAGAGGACCAUGCUGCCAGACGGUGACCUCAGGAGUAAGGACAAGGCACUCAGCUCAGAUCAGGAACUUGCUGAAAGAAGAUCCCACGGGUGACUUCACCAGAGCUGGGAGAUACCUCAGAAUGUUCCAGAAUCUUAGACCAGCAUUAGGGAGCCUCCAGACAGGAGGCCAAGCAGCUGCCUUGCCCAAGAGAAGAGUUUCAAGCAGGAGAGGGAAGAAGCAGCCAUGACGGUGACAGAAGUGACCAGAACUCCAGGCCAGACUUAAAGGAAGCUCUUUGAGGAGGAGCCACAUCCUGUCUUUGCUGUUCUCCAUGGCAUGUCUGAGCACGGCGGGACUUGGGUUGGAGACCGGGUGCGGCUGUGGCCACUGCGGUCGAAGCCAACGGAUUUAUGGUUCCACGCAGUCGUGGGCGGAGAUGAGCCCGUGACCGAAGACGUGGCCUGCCUUCUCGGGGGACGGUUGCUGCCGCACUCUUCCAGGUCACGCAGGAGGAAGGUGAUCUCGUCCUUGUUGCCACUCCUUGGCCCCGACACCCGCCCACGCCAGGCAGACCAGCCAGAUUCUCCCUGCGGCCAGCCGUGCAUGGUGCCAAUCCUGGGAGUGACUUCGGGGAGGGGGAGGCGGGGGGCAAGCAAGUGAUCGGUAUUGUGGCAGAGCUGUCCACGCAGUGUCCUGGUUAACUCUGGCUGGCGUAGGGACCACCCUCAGCAUGAACCCGCAGCUCUUUGAGGGCACAGCCUGGGUCUGAAGCCUCUCUUCAGAGAGGCUUAGCACCUGGCACGUAGAAAGUCUUCACCUGGCGUGGAGUAGGGGAGUGCUUCUGUAGUUACCAGCAGCCAGGGAGUUCAUGGAGGGUCCGAGUUCAGAUGUUAGUGACUGUCCUCAAGUGUCCCCCCCCGGGCCCCCCACGCCCCAAUGAAUGCAUCCUCCCUUUGGUAUAUGGCGAAGUCCUGGGUCCUCAGCACAAAAUGCAGACAGUGCCCCCUUGUGUGUUUUGUAAGCUGCAGAAUCCCUGUCUAGGGGGUGGGGCAGGGGAAGGGGACAAAUCCUGGGUAUACAUCGAGGGUUUUAUAGAGCCUUGGAGCUCUCUGCUGCUUUCUUUUAAAGCUAGUGAGUUAAAAAUGUUCUAGGCCAGAUAGUAGGAGCUGGUCCCGAGGGCUGGCACUGCCCCUAGGAGCCGGGGGCUGCUUCCAAACAGCCGAACCUUGAAGCUGGUGGAGAUGUGAGCAGGUCACCAAGGGUUAAGGAGAGAGGGGAAGGGGGGCCCUUGCCAGCCGCCUCUUUGUGUGCUUACCAGGGGCUUUCGUGCCCACGCAGUUGUCUCUGGGCAGGAACACCGCUGACUACCAGGUGUCCGCGCUCCAGGUUUGGCUGUUGGUAGCUGGAGUGUCAUUUACAGUGGGUCUCCAGAACACUCCCUCACAUUUUUCCCCUAAUGACCACCCAGAGACCCGACUGAACAGAAAUUAAUGCAAACAGGUAGAGGAGGUCGAAAUAGAUGAUCAAGUGAAGGCUGUGGGGGGAGCAGGGCGCUGGAGGGGGCAGGUGGCUCUCAGCUCCGCACUCGUAGGGAAUGGGCCAAGGCUCUUCCUAAGAAGCAGCUCCAAAGGCUUCUAGAAAAUAGCUCGAGAAGCCAGGUCUAGAAGGAAAGCUGUAAAGGGCUUCAUGGUAUGUAAAGGCACCCCCCCGUCCUCACAGCCCCCCAGCCAGAGCACCCACGCCAGGCUCUUGGAUGCUCGCUGAGCGGCCGUUCUCACGGGGGGCCUCUGAGGCUGCUCGGUGCAUGCGUGAGGCUCUAACCAGCACAGCCUGCCUUUAGUGCCCGCACGGCCAAGGGCUUCCCAUGCAGGGCCCCGCUGAAUCCCCAGCAGCCCCGGGAAGUAGCAUGUUCCUGUCCUCAUGUUCGAAUGAAGAAAAUAAGGUUUAGAGAGGUUAAACAACUUGCCCAAGGGCGGGCAGCGAGUGAGGGGAGGAGCAGGCUUCACGUCCAGGCCUGCCCAUCACUCGGGCUUUAAGGCGCUGCUUCGCGCCUUGCGGGAAUUUUCCUUGCGUCGCCAGAAUCCUCAGUCCAUGCUGCGUCUCGAUGGCGCAGCCACCUUGAAAUGGUCUUGCUUCCACAGCCCCCUCCGCGGCCCAUCAGAGCCGCUCAGUAGUUUCUGAGAGGCCAGGUCGAGUGGGGGCUGAACCUCCCGACCAUCCCUGUGAUUCACGAGCGACAUCCUCCGUACUCCCAGCAGUCACUGGAAUUUCUGCUGUGGGAAUUUGGGGAGAGUCUUGAGGCGUGGCAGAUGCAAGAAUCUGUGAUUUCUGCUCUCCAUUCUGUGAGUCAGGUCAUCAGGCAGAGCAAGGCAGGAACAAUUUCUUUCUGCUCCACUGUGUCUGGGCCUCAACCCAAGAGGCCCAAACGGCUGGAUUUGGCUAAGGUGGUCUGACUGGCCGUAGUGCGGGGCCCUUGGUUCUGUCUGCCAGCAGGAUCCCUCCCCUCUUUUUCGCGUGACAUCCACUGAAAUGGGGUGGAAAUGUCCAAAAUGACUUUUUCACUCGUGCAUCUGAUGCUUCCAUGUUCUCCUUUAAUGGCCUCUCUUCAUAGAGUAACUUCAUCUCCUUACAUUGUUGUUCCGGGCUCCGCAAAGCCACCGUCCAUGCUCCUCCUUGUCCACGGUACCUGUCCUGCCCUGAGCCCCAUCUGUGGGGAGCUGCCACAUUUGGCCCCCACUGUAUUACAUGACCCUGCCCAUUGGGCCAGGAUCCAGUGGAAGCUGACCAGUGACUUUUGAAAUCACCUGGCUGGCUCAAAAAUAUAAGGAAAACCAGUCAGACCAGUCGGAUUCCCCUUUGGGGAAACUCAAACCAAAACAUCAGACUGUAUCGGCACAGUGUGUGUGUGACAGGAUAGCGUGAGGGCAAGUAGGGCCUGGAUGGACCGAUGUGCUGGCCUGAAUGAGGCUGAAGAAGGGACGUGGAGAUAGAAGAAAAACAAGCCGUGACAUGGAGAGACCUCCGAGUGGAGGGAACCAUGAGCCUGUCGUUGGCGACGGGAGAAAGGAAGGGACGGCCGGAACAGAGCUGGGACCCAUGAAAGCCUGGGGGUGGAGCCAGUCCCAGAGGUGCCCUAGUGUCCCAGAGCUCCCCUAGUGUCCCAGAGCUCCUGGGCCCGCCUGGCCCAUGUGAGUCACUGCAACAAACUUGUUCCUUAUUCCCUUGGCUGUCAGUUGGCUUAGAGGGGGCCACGUGACUUCAAUCUGCCAAUAAAAAUUAGGAGGAAAUGGGCUGGAGGUCCUUCUGGGAAGAAUUUUGCUUUUUGAUGAAAGGAAGGAUGGUGAAGAGGCCUGGCCCUUCUUCCUGCUUUGGACAUGGAUGUUUGAGGAUGUGAUACUUAGAGCUGUAGCAGCCAUCUUGGGACCAUGAGGCAACAAGAUCAAGGGAAGAAGCCAAUGUACCAAAGUUGGCCCAGCAGACGGACAAAAAGAGCCUGGGUCCUAGAUGACAUCGUUGAGCCACUAUACCUAUCCUGGAACCACCUACUUCCAGUCUUAUUGAUACAUUAAUUAAAUGUCUUUAUUUUCUAAGCAGAUUUCUGCUAUUUGAAGGCUAAGACAUUCUUAGCCAGUAUAGCACUCCUCUGAACCUGUCCGUCAUCAACUCCUUAGAGCCCCAUGGCUCUUGGUUUAGAUCCAAAUGGGAAAUCACCACAAAUUUAAACAGUGGAAAUCUUAACUUACGUGGUAGGAAAUACAAGUCAAGAUUUCUCACAGCCUACAGAGCAAUUCCAGCACCUAGUCCCAACUCCCAGGGCCUGUUGGACGCAAAUGAGGAAAGAUAGAUUCAGGAAAGUUCUAGAUACAUGAGCAUGAGUCUUCUAAAAUGGGGCUCAAUGAUGAAUUUUGGGAUGAACAAGUGCAGUGAGGGGCGAAGGGGAGAGCCUAAGCAUGGGCCAGAAAGCCAUGGAAAGCACACGGAAGGAGCAGCAAGCUGGAAUGGACAAAUGGCGGGUGGGUUGGAUCACUUCUGCGGGAGGCCAGGGUCCACAGCAAGAUUUCACAAGUGCCAAGUACUGGCUGGGAGGAGUUUACAGCAACUAGAAUUAAACUGGUGGAAAACGAGGCCUUUUCGUUAACUCUCCAGCCAGCCUUCCUGACAUUUUAGAUCCUUUUAGGAACAGGGCCUGAAUUGUGGCCCUUGCCUGCGUGCAGGCGCUCCCACGUGCUUCAUUCUUUGUCUCUUCUCCACCUCUCCCUCUCUCUCCACCCUUUCUUCCUAUCUUCUCAGCAAAGCCAGGAGCCAGAAAUGCUCAAGAUCUGAAUCUCUUUCACCUCAGCUGGAGAGUAAAGAUAGUGGGAGGCAAGGAUGUCUUAUGGAAGCUUCAAAUCCUGGUCUGGGGAUCAUCCUGGUUCCCUUGGGAGGGGGGAAAGCUGUCUGUUGAUAAGGACUAGAUUAAGCUUUCUUCUGCCCCAACUUUGACCAAGCAGUGGGGACGGGGGUGCUUCUUCAACACAACACAAGAAAAUGUGUGGUCCUCCCUUCCCUUGUGCAAUGAGACGUUGAACUCGAGCACUCUAGGCCUUCCUCUUUCGAUUUCUAGUUUCAGGUACACAACAAAGAUAAUCUGACAUCCUCCUCAUGCAUCCUACGAAUAUUUCAUUGCAUUCAGAACUUGAGAAAAGUCUCACCAACCCAUUUCCCAUCCCCACAUCAUCAGUAGUAGAAACAUGUGGCCUGUAGAAGUUCAUCAAAUGAAUGGGGCCCAAACACGGUUGAGUUACCAGCAGACUCUGCCACUAAGCCUCGUCCCUCUGGGUGCAGCCCUUAUGCACCCUGCGUAUCUUAGGAGUUCUGCCCCCAAAGGCCAAAACCAGGUCAACCCCGACAUUUGCCCACUGUGUUACUUCACUCACUCAGUAGAAGUACUGAACACCUAGUAGAAUUACAAGCUAAACUUAUAAAAGCAAUGAUACUAUUAGGAAGAUUAGUCAUUAAAGACACACACAAAAAAUUCCUGACCUCAUCAGAGAAACGAAUGAAAGCUUUGGGAUGGAGGAAGCAAAAAGGGUAACCUCCUACUUUGAUGUGAUUAAUGCUUCACUGUGAUGCUUAAUACACCAUGAAUUCCCCCACCCCCACAGUUGGCCCGUACACCAUGAAGGUUUCUCUGAAAUCCAGUAAGGAAAAGAACUUGAAGGCUUUUCCUCCUUCUUGGUAAUCAGGGUUUUUUCUCCAGUAUGAAUUUGCCUGAUUAUGGAUUAAACGCUCUCCCACAGUCUGUACAACACGAGAGUGUCUUUCCCGUGAACUCUCCAAUGAUAAGAAAGGGCUACACUGUCCCCACAUGAUUUUCCACACCGAUUAGGCUCACAGGCUUCUCUCUAGGAUGAAUGAUCUCAGGUUCAAUCCACUCCAUGCUUCCCCUAGACAGUUCUCCAUAUUCAUUACAUAUGACCGGCUCAAGUCCCAACUAAAUUAGCUGACAUUGUCUGAGUCUGGCUGGGAUUGUAGGUUCUUCCUCAUCCAUUAUGCUUACAGAGCUUCUCCCUGCCCUGAAAUCCCAGAAGUCUAAUUAGCUGUGAGCACUGUCUAAAAGCAUUUUCACAUCCA
Molecule: long non-coding RNA, 6779 nt
Organism: Leptonychotes weddellii (Weddell seal)
Lineage: Eukaryota; Metazoa; Chordata; Mammalia; Carnivora; Phocidae
Source: RefSeq, a predicted model, not a curated record